Molecule: ribosomal RNA, 465 nt
Filed under: uncultured bacterium
Lineage: Bacteria
Description: partial 16S ribosomal RNA
Rfam family: Bacterial small subunit ribosomal RNA
Source: RNAcentral
CCUACGGGAGGCAGCAGUGGGGAAUAUUGCGCAAUGGGCGAAAGCCUGACGCAGCGACGCCGCGUGAGGGAUGAAGGUCUUCGGAUCGUAAACCUCUGUCAGCAGGGAAGAACGGUCACUGUGCUAAUCAGCAGUGAAUUGACGGUACCUGCAAAGGAAGCACCGGCUCACUCCGUGCCAGCAGCCGCGGUAAGACGGAGGGUGCGAGCGUUAAUCGGAAUUACUGGGCGUAAAGCGCUCGUAGGCGGUAUGUCAAGUCAAGGGUGAAAUCCCCGCGCUCAACGUGGGAACUGCCUUUGAAACUGGCAAACUGGAGUGUGUGAGAGGAUAGUGGAAUUCCAGGUGUAGGAGUGAAAGCCGUAGAUAUCGGGAGGAACAUCAGUGGCGAAGGCGACUAUCUGGCACAUAACUGACGCUGAGGAGCGAAAGCGUGGGUAGCAAACAGGAUUAGAUACCCUUGUAGUC